AACGCACCUUGCGCCCCUUGGUAUUCCGAGGGGCAUGCCUGUUUGAGUGUCUUGAAAUCAUCAAGCCCCUCGGCGCUCGUCGCCGGAGGGCUUGGACUUGGGGGUCUUGCUGACGCUUCGGCGCCGGCUCCCCUUAAAUGAAUCGGUCGGGCUUAUCGUGUGCCGGUCCACGGGCGUUGUAUCACCCUCGUCCUGGGAUGGCGCUCGACUCGAAGGCCCCUCCUCGACCUGCCUAUGGAGCGGCGGUCAAAGGCGCUUUGCCACUUUGUGAUCUGACCUCAAAUCAGGUAGGACUACCCGCUGAACUUAA
RNAcentral lists this unclassified non-coding RNA (310 nucleotides) under uncultured fungus. RNAcentral's name for it is "partial contains 5.8S ribosomal RNA, internal transcribed spacer 2, and large subunit ribosomal RNA". The stretch from base 1 to 52 matches the Rfam family "5.8S ribosomal RNA", at positions 103 to 154 of the family's 154-position model. The record is from RNAcentral. Lineage: Eukaryota; Fungi.